UUUACUGAUUGCCGCAUCCAACAUCCAAAGUAUGAAAAACAUCACGUAGCUAGCGGUCAACAGCACGAUGACAAUUGUGAUUAAUCCCGUAAAAGCGUAAUUACAGAUUAUACUUUGUUGUUCAUUCUUUCAGCUCGAUCCGGUACAAAGCGGAAAGCGUUAUCAUCGUAUGUUUCUUGAUUGUUUUGUCUGUAGACUCUGCAUAAACUUUGAAUCUGUGUUGUAAUAGUUUAAGACUCGUAAAAAGCAACUGCGCCAAAUUGGCUUUCCUGAUAUUCUUUUGCGAGUGUAGAAAAAUAUUAUCAACGGCGUUUUGCUUCUGGUUUCUAAAUGAAGGCCGAUCAGGCGAUUAAAUUUGGUUUUUCCUUCUUUUUUUUUAUGCUUUUUGUUUGAUUUUUUUUUCCUUGCUGUUUGCAGAGUGCAGACGACUUUGUUGUGUUUGGCAGAUAUCAUACGAGACAGUUGACAGCAGCCAGGAGUGACGGAAGGAUAAUAAUCUCUGCUCUUGAUAAGGAGAUUGAAUUUUCAUUCACGACCGGAAAAUAUGUUGAAAUUUGAAAGUGGAUGUGGCCGACAGCUGACUCACGGGAGCACCGGUGGUUUCCUUUGAUUGAUCAAGAUAUUAGGAUCGUCGCAGGAUUGUGUGGUCGGUAAUAUCCAACCGACUUCAAGGUCUCUCAAGAAAAAGGUUAUUAUAAGGUCGGCAAUUCGAUUGGAAAGUUUCAAGAUUGAUAAUCGAAAUUCAAAUCUGCCUAUCGUUCGCAUGGUGACAUUGAAAAUGUGAACACCAGAUGGAGGUCCCUGUGUGUACAGCACUUAUAUUUAGCUAAUUGGCUGAGUUGCUGAGAUAUUAAUAUUAUGAUGGAACUCACGUCGGUCUGCAUGUCCAUGGCCAAUUCAAAACUCAGCAUGUAAUGUUUUACAAAAGUAUUUCUUUUGUUUCUCAAAAAUCGUCAAUGUGUUAAAAACCGGUGUGUUAUUCCCUCUUUACACGUGGCUGAAACAAAAAGAAGUCGAGGAAAUGAAAAAACUAAACACCCCUGGAUUCCCAGAUAAAACUGGUUGAAGCAAUAUAUGUUUUAGCAUCCGAUUGUUUCGCCUAACUUGAUCUUCUCUUUCGCUGAUAGCGGUACAGUUUGACUGUCGAAGUUGCCUCUGCUACUGAUGGAGAAGCACCUGACAGUGAAUUCAAACAUCAAUGAUUUGGUGUCAACCACACCCUUAAGCUGAGCUAGUGUAGGCUGAAGCUACUGUAUAUAUGUUUUGCCUGAGCAGAAAUUCUAAUCUCUAUUCUACACAUGGACCAACGCUAAACACAGUUCCCAUCAGUUAAGACAUAAUGAUUGGGUGCAUGUUUGAAGUAAAAAUAACAUUUUCUGUACAUCUUAACAUAAUCUUAUAUUUCCCUAUUCAGCAUCUGUUUUAAUUUGUUUGUACCUACAGGCGCAUUUGAGUGGGUGUUUGAUAAUGUAAAUGAUGUGCAAUCAGUGUAAGAGUUUCCCUUCAGUCCCACUGAUUUAAGUUUUAAAUUGUGACAUGUAAAUUGCUUUCUUUGUUAACAAACUUUUUUGUAUUUCACAGAAUAAGCUUUCGAUACAGGACACACCCAUAGAUGUGGAGCGGAAUUGGGGCCGUGCAACCUUUUCUCCUCCGAUCCCAUCCAUUCUUCCCUUUUUAGCUUAAUUCCUCCGUCCUCGUAUACACAUUCGUGUGAUUGUAAAUUCACGGCGAUAUCGCUUCCUCGUAUACUCCUUCCUGUGAUGCUUUAAUGGAUACAUCCGUACCAAGACUGUCUACGGGGAAUUUGCCGUCAACUGAAGGUAACGGCUCAAAAUUGCGCAAGUGGGCGAGGUAUUGAGCCCGUUUUGUUGUUUGCCGUUAGGUGUUUUUUUUUUCUUUUUGAAUUUUUUUGCUGGUAUUGAACUACUGGGAAAAUAGAACAGCGGAAUAAUUCAAUUAGGUCGAACUUGUUUAAGCUUCCGAGAUCUUCUUAGACCCGUGACUUUUUUUCUUUCUAAUUUUUUAUCCCAGGGCUGGCGUAAUGUUUCUCUUUUUUAUUGUUCCCGUUUAACAUUUAACUAGAGCAUUCUAUUUUCUUCGCAUUACUUUGCAAUCUUUCAUUCUACGCAGGCAUACCAAACGUCACUCUUCAAUUCGAGAGAUCGGCCUUGCACUUGGCCGCUGCACGUAUCGGUCAUUUUGCAUUUGAAUCAUUAACUAAUCGUUAAAUUAUUACUGGGCUUCUUCGAAUAGAGAAAGAAUAAGUUGUCGUGUGUGUCUUUACAACAUCCGAAAUAAUAAGAACACUUUCAAAAUUGUCUUUAUUUACCGAAGUGUGAAUUUGUCAUGCCUCUAGCCACGCAAUUCAUUUAUUUAUUCUGGCAAAACGAAGAAUGUUGCACCGUAUGCUGAUGGUAAAAUUUCUUAGGGAACGAAGGGAUUUGCAUAUCAGCUUUUCGAUUGAUUAAAGUAAGACAAGCGAAAGCAAU
This 2489-nucleotide long non-coding RNA is filed under the name Daphnia pulicaria. Its description in RNAcentral is "uncharacterized LOC124350307, transcript variant X4". The record is from RNAcentral. Lineage: Eukaryota; Metazoa; Arthropoda; Branchiopoda; Diplostraca; Daphniidae.